AUUUAAAGUGGUACGCGAGCUGGGUUCAGAACGUCGUGAGACAGUUCGGUCCCUAUCUGCCGUGGGCGUUUGAGAUUUGAGGGAAGCUGCUCCUAGUACGAGAGGACCGGAGUGGACGAACCUCUGGUGUUCCGGUUGUCAUGCCAAUGGCAUUGCCGGGUAGCUAUGUUCGGACAGGAUAACCGCUGAAAGCAUCUAAGCGGGAAGCCCCUCCCAAGAUGAGAUCUCACUGGGACCAUGAGUCCCCUGAAGGGCCCUGGGAGACUACCAGGUUGAUAGGUCAGGUGUGGAAGUCCAGUAAUGGAUGAAGCUAACUGAUACUAAUUGCCCGUGAGGCUUGACCAU
Molecule: ribosomal RNA, 345 nt
Filed under: Methylicorpusculum sp.
Lineage: Bacteria; Pseudomonadati; Pseudomonadota; Gammaproteobacteria; Methylococcales; Methylococcaceae
Description: partial 23S ribosomal RNA
Rfam family: Bacterial large subunit ribosomal RNA
Source: RNAcentral